CAGGAUGAACGCUAGCGACAGGCCUAACACAUGCAAGUCGAGGGCAGCACAAGGAGCAAUCUGAGGUGGCGACCGGCGCACGGGUGAGUAACACGUAUGCAACCUGCCUAGUAAGCGGGGAAUAACCCGUUGAAAGACGGACUAAUACCGCAUAAUACUAAAUUACUGCAUGGUAAUUUAUUUAAACAUUUAUGGCUUACAGAUGGGCAUGCGCAUGAUUAGCUAGUUGGAGAGGUAACGGCUCCCCAAGGCAACGAUCAUUAGGGGUUCUGAGAGGAAGGUCCCCCACACUGGUACUGAGACACGGACCAGACUCCUACGGGAGGCAGCAGUGAGGAAUAUUGGUCAAUGGACGAGAGUCUGAACCAGCCAAGUCGCGUGCAGGAAGAAUUGUCCUAUGGAUUGUAAACUGCUUUUGCAGGGGAAUAAAGUGCAUCACGUGUGAUGUUUUGUAUGUACUCUGCGAAUAAGGAUCGGCUAACUCCGUGCCAGCCGCUGC
This 499-nucleotide ribosomal RNA is filed under the name uncultured bacterium. RNAcentral's name for it is "bacterial SSU rRNA". It matches the Rfam family "Bacterial small subunit ribosomal RNA", at positions 25 to 518 of the family's 1533-position model. The record is from RNAcentral.